RNAcentral lists this long non-coding RNA (1275 nucleotides) under Parus major (Great Tit). RNAcentral's name for it is "lncRNA (ENSPMJG00000004512.1)". The record is from RNAcentral. Lineage: Eukaryota; Metazoa; Chordata; Aves; Passeriformes; Paridae.
AUGGGGAAGGGUCCCUUGGGAUGGGGAAGGGCCCUUGGGAUGGGGAAGGGCCCUGGGAUGGGGACCCUGCUCUGGUGUGGGUCUGGAAUCAAGAGAUGGCUCCAGCAGCCAUUCCUACUUUCUUUGCUGCCUUCGGCAUUCCCUGGGCUUCCCUCGGCCCCUCCAACCUCCCCCUGCUCCCCUCGGCACCCCAUCCCACAUUCCCCCAUCCCACAUUCCCCCAAUUUCACAUUUCCCCAUCCCACACCCUCCCGCACCCCGCUCUCCUCAGCCCUCCCUCCCGCACCUCUCUGCUCUCCUCCUCAGCGCUUCCCACAUUCUCCCACCCCUCUCAGCAUCCCAGCCUCGCCCCGCUCCUCUCGGCAUCCCAUCCCGAUCCCCAUUCCCCAUCCCCAUUCCCCGAUCCCAUUCCCCGAUCCCAUUCCCCGAUCCCAUUCCCCGAUCCCAUUCCCCGAUCCCAUUCCCCGACCCCAUUCCCCGAUCCCAUUCCCCGAUCCCAUUUCCCGUUCCCAUUCCCCGAUCCCAUUUCCCGUUCCCAUUCCCCGAUCCCAUUUCCCGUUCCCAUUCCCCGAUCCCAUUCCCGAUCCCAUUCCCGAUCCCGAUCCCGUUCCCGAUCCCAUUCCCGAUCCCAUUCCCGAUCCCAUUCCCGAUCCCAUUUCCCGUUCCCAUUUCCGAUCCCAUUCCCCGACCCCAUUCCCGAUCCCGUUCCCGAUCCCAUUCCCGAUCCCAUUGCCGAUCCCAUUUCCCGUUCCCAUUCCCGAUCCCAUUCCCCGAUCCCAUUCCCGAUCCCAUUGCCGAUCCCAUUUCCCGUUCCCAUUCCCGAUCCCAUUCCCCGAUCCCAUUCCCGAUCCCAUUGCCGAUCCCAUUCCCGAUCCCAUUCCCUCCUCCCUCCCGCGCCGCCUCCGCCCCUUCCCUCCCUGCGCGAUUAGCGAGGCCGGAGCCGCCCCCGGCACCUGCCCGGCCCUUCCUCCCUCCCUCCCUCCAUCCUCAUCCCGCCCUCUCCCAUCCCUCUCCCAUCCCUCUCCCAUCCCUCUCCCAUCCCUCUCCCAUCCUCUCCGGUCCCUGCCGGUGCCGGUGCCGGUGCCGGUGCCGGGCCCGGGCCGCAGCACCGCGGCCAUUGCGGGGCCGCUCCCGCCGCUCUCCCCGCUCAGCCCCGGCCAUGAGGAGGAGGAGGAGGAGGGCGGCGGCUCCGCGCUCAGCCCCCGGGCCCUGCUGAGAUCCCCGGGCCCUGCUGAUCCCCCCUGGACCGCUCUGAUCCCCCCCGGACCCUGCUGA